GCUCAAAUUUGAAAUCUUAAAGGGUUUCCCUUUACGAAUUGUAGUUUAAAGAAGUGUUUUCUGUUGAGGUUUUGGUAAAAGUUCUUUGGAAUAGGACAUCAUAGAGGGUGAGAAUCCCGUAUUUGACCUUUACUUUCAACUUUGUGAUACACUUUCAAAGAGUCGGAUUGUUUGGGAAUGCAGUCCAAAAUGGGUGGUAAAUUUCAUCUAAAGCUAAAUAUUGGCGAGAGACCGAUAGCGAACAAGUACCGUGAGGGAAAGAUGAAAAGAACUUUGAAAAGAGAGUUAAACAGUACGUGAAAUUGUCAAAAGGGAAGCGUUUGACACCAGUGUUGUUUUUCUGAAAAUCAAUUAAAGAACUGUUUAUGCUAAGCUGUUUAGACUUUAUCAGCUAUCUGUUUAGUUUUGAGCUUUUCUUUAAUGCACUUUUCGGUUAACAAG
RNAcentral lists this ribosomal RNA (441 nucleotides) under uncultured Neocallimastigomycetes. Its description in RNAcentral is "LSU rRNA". It matches the Rfam family "Eukaryotic large subunit ribosomal RNA", at positions 107 to 542 of the family's 3401-position model. The record is from RNAcentral. Lineage: Eukaryota; Fungi; Neocallimastigomycota; Neocallimastigomycetes.